Molecule: long non-coding RNA, 1415 nt
Filed under: Strigops habroptila (Kakapo)
Lineage: Eukaryota; Metazoa; Chordata; Aves; Psittaciformes; Psittacidae
Description: lncRNA (ENSSHBG00005014107.1)
Source: RNAcentral
UCAGGAAUAAUGAUAAAAAAUAACUAGAUUCAGGACUUUGACUUUCAAUGUCCAUAAAUGCUAGCAUUUAUGAUCUUGGCUGCUGGGACUCUGGCUCAUGGUGUGGAAGAGUGCUGAACUGUGACUGCAUUCUCACCAACAGAAAAACAGGUUUUCAAGUUAGCUCACCUUAUUUUUAUUUCCCCCUCCCCCCUGUUUUUCCCUAACAUGACUUCACCAGGGAAAUCUCAAGGGAAUAACCUAUUAGGGAAGCACUGUUGCUCCAUUUCUCUUUUGGUAAGGAAGACAGGUGUGUAAGUCUAAAUAUCCUUUAGAAAACUAAAUUACUAGAAGAUAGAUUGAAAUUUAACUUUCUCCCUCAGCCAGAUCUGGCAUACAAGGUUUUACUUCACUCAAAAAACUUAAAACUAAUGAAGUGCAGGCUCUGUGGUGCUUUGGGCUCAAGCUAUUUCAUAUGCUCCUGGAACAUGUGAAUAAACAUGUCAAGGCAAAUUUCACUUAUCCCUAAUAAAGCAGAAGGUAAUAAGGUAGAAAGAGAGCUUGUGUAACUAAUCAAUCAGUUGUUACCCAAGGCUGUGGGAUUAUGGAAUUAAGAUUGCCUUAUGCAUUUCAUAGGUAUAAACCUGGUUAGCUUUCUAAAGAAAUACUUCAGAAGUUGGAUUUUACUGUUUGAAAAAAAUGUGACUGAACCAUCAUCUCCGCAAGACUUUGAACCAUUAGUAGCAGUAUUAGUCUGUCACUGUUUAAAUAUGUAGUUCUGAAAAGCCAGGGUUUUUUUGUUUUUUUUUUUUUAAUGUGGAAUAAAAAAGGAACAGGAGAGAAAGGUACUUUAAAUUUUUAUCUGAUAGUUUGAACAAGCAGGACUUUGCAAGAAAAUAAUUCUAAAGCCUGAAAAAUAUAUUACAAGACUUGUUAAUGUCUUUAUGGUUACAAAAAUCAUCUAGGCUCUUAUACAAAUCUAUAGCCAGAAGGGAACAUUUAUAAAAAAAUAAAUAGGCACCCUAGGAAAGUUAAAACAAGUUAUCAUGUAUUAGUUAGCAAAUAUUAAGUACAUACAUACGUGGAGUGCACAGUCAAAUAUAAAAACAAAGGUGCCUCAAUUAGCUGUCUAUUUAAUUAAAUACCUGGUAAACAUGGGUCGCAUAGAAAGUUGUCGGGUAAGAUCGGUUCAAGCAAAGCAAGGAGACUGGAAGUACACCUACGUUACUACAGCUACCUUAAAAAGAUGUUUACCAGUUGUGCUUUACUGGAAGCCAGAUUCAUUGGUAUCGGUAAUAGGCAUUCAUAUUGCUUAUUGUACACAAGUAUGAACAUUGCUAUGCAUGUUUAAAAAUAAGUGUCCUAAUAUUCACAGUUGUUGCUGUGCUACUGAUACAUAAAAAUACUGUCAUUUCAAAUACAAGAUUUUUUCAAAA